This 268-nucleotide long non-coding RNA is filed under the name Ananas comosus (pineapple). Its description in RNAcentral is "long non-coding RNA (ACOM_LNC006175)". Lineage: Eukaryota; Viridiplantae; Streptophyta; Magnoliopsida; Poales; Bromeliaceae. The record is from RNAcentral.
UAAGAUCGAUCUGAUCGGAAAAAAAAAAUGUUAAGAAAUAUACGUAGAGCUGCUAUACUUUCGGAAGCAUAAAAAAGUUGGCGCUUCCGACUAUUUAGCUUUUAGAUCAGGAACUGCAUGUAUGAUUAGAAUUAAUGCAGUGAUCUCUCCUGAAAAAAUAAUAUUAAUCCAUGCAAUUAGAAAUGAUAAAAAAGAUUGAACCAAAGGUUAAAAAUUUGGAAGCACCAACUCCUUUAUGCUUCCGAAAGUGCCACAGUCGACGGACUCG